Molecule: long non-coding RNA, 427 nt
Filed under: Homo sapiens (human)
Lineage: Eukaryota; Metazoa; Chordata; Mammalia; Primates; Hominidae
Description: non-protein coding lnc-SLC45A3-1:1
Source: RNAcentral
AGGAGAUCAAGACCAUCCUGGCUAACACGGUGAAACCCUGUCUCUACUAAAAACACAAAAAAGUAGCCAGGCGUGGUGGCGGGCACCUGUGGUCCCAGCUACUCCGGAGGCUGAGACAGGAGAAUGGCGUGAACCCGGGAGGCGGAGCUUGCAGUGAGCCGAGAUCGCGCGAGCUGGGCAGGGCUCAGGUGGAGGGGACAGGCAGUCCAGGAAGGGGAAGUAACUGGAGCACGGUGACCACCUUGGAAGCAAAAACAAGCCUAGUGCUGAUGAAUUCCCUUAUUUGGGUGCCCAUGGACAAAUGGUUCGAAUUUUCUGCUCAACCACUGUUUAUUUGUGCAACCUUGGGCAUGUUACGUUCUGAGACUGAGCUGUUCAUCUCGAAUAUGAAUAUUAAACACCUACCUUGGAUUUGGAGCGUAUGAAU